This 679-nucleotide ribosomal RNA is filed under the name uncultured bacterium. Its description in RNAcentral is "bacterial SSU rRNA". It matches the Rfam family "Bacterial small subunit ribosomal RNA", at positions 10 to 731 of the family's 1533-position model. The record is from RNAcentral.
AGUUUGAUCCUGGCUCAGGAUGAACGCUGGCGGUAUGCUUAACACAUGCAAGUCGAACGGAUGUUUUCGGACAUUAGUGGCGGACGGGUGAGUAACGCGUGAGAAUCUAGCUUCAGGUUGGGGACAACAGUUGGAAACGACUGCUAAUACCGAAUGUGCCGAAAGGUGAAAGAUUUAUUGCCUGAAGAAGAGCUCGCGUCUGAUUAGCUAGUUGGUGGGGUAAGAGCUUACCAAGGCGACGAUCGGUAGCUGGUCUGAGAGGACGAUCAGCCACACUGGGACUGAGACACGGCCCAGACUCCUACGGGAGGCAGCAGUGGGGAAUUUUCCGCAAUGGGCGAAAGCCUGACGGAGCAAUACCGCGUGAGGGAAGAAGGCUCUUGGGUUGUAAACCUCUUUUCUGAGGGAAGAAAAAAAUGACGGUACCUCAGGAAUCAGCAUCGGCUAACUCCGUGCCAGCAGCCGCGGUAAUACGGAGGAUGCAAGCGUUAUCCGGAAUGAUUGGGCGUAAAGCGUCCGCAGGUGGCAUAUCAAGUUUGCGGUUAAAGGUUCUGGCUCAACCAGAGACAGGCCGUGAAAACUGAUAAGCUAGAGUAUGGUAGGGGCAGAGGGAAUUCCCAGUGUAGCGGUGAAAUGCGUAGAGAUUGGGAAGAACACCGGUGGCGAAAGCGCUCUGCUA